RNAcentral lists this long non-coding RNA (330 nucleotides) under Gossypium barbadense (sea-island cotton). Its description in RNAcentral is "long non-coding RNA (GBAR_LNC017000)". The record is from RNAcentral. Lineage: Eukaryota; Viridiplantae; Streptophyta; Magnoliopsida; Malvales; Malvaceae.
GUUGGGUUUUUAUAACCGAUUGUGUCAUCAUUUCCAUUGUUAUGAUUGUCCCUUCUUUCCUCUUUGCAGGCGUUUGAAGCAGGCGGCAGUAGGUGCGGCGCAGCAGUUGGUGGCUUGCGGCGCUGGUCAGAGGCAGGGUGGGUAGCUGGCGGCAUCUAGGGUUUCAGAAAAUGAAACCCUAGUUAGAUAUUUUUUAGGGAAAUUGGGCCUGGCUAUUGGGCUUCGGGUUUGGGUGUAAAUGGGUAAAUUUGGGCUUGGUUUUGCUGGGUUAGGUCUGUUAGGGGCUAAAUUUGGGUUGUUGGGCUAUUCGGGUUUUGUAUUGUAAUUGGG